AGAGUUUGAUCCUGGCUCAGGAUGAACGCUAGCUACAGGCUUAACACAUGCAAGUCGAGGGGCAGCAUGGAAGAAGCUUGCUUCUUCUGAUGGCGACCGGCGCACGGGUGCGUAACGCGUAUCAAACCUGCCUCAUACUCGGGGAUAGCCUUGCGAAAGUAAGAUUAAUACCCGAUGUUGUUAUGUUUCCGCAUGGUGAUAUAACCAAAGAUUUAUCGGUAUGAGAUGGUGAUGCGUCCGAUUAGGUAGUAGGCGGGGUAACGGCCCACCUAGCCUUCGAUCGGUAGGGGUUCUGAGAGGAAGGUCCCCCACACUGGAACUGAGACACGGUCCAGACUCCUACGGGAGGCAGCAGUGAGGAAUAUUGGUCAAUGGACGAAAGUCUGAACCAGCCAAGUAGCGUGCAGGAUGACGGCCCUCCGGGUUGUAAACUGCUUUUAGUUGGGAAUAAAAAAAGGGACUUGUCCCUUCUUGUAUGUACCUUCAGAAAAAGGACCGGCUAAUUCCGUGCCAGCAGCCGCGGUAAUACGGAAGGUCCAGGCGUUAUCCGGAUUUAUUGGGUUUAAAGGGAGCGUAGGCGGAUUGUUAAGUCAGCGGUUAAAGGGUGUGGCUCAACCAUGCAUUGCCGUUGAAACUGGCGAUCUUGAGUGCAGACAGGGAUGCCGGAAUUCGUGGUGUAGCGGUGAAAUGCUUAGAUAUCACGAAGAACUCCGAUCGCGAAGGCAGGUGUCCGGGCUGCAACUGACGCUGAGGCUCGAAAGUGUGGGUAUCAAACAGGAUUAGAUACCCUGGUAGUCCACACAGUAAACGAUGUAUACUCGCGGUUUGCGAUAGAUUGUAAGCCGCCAAGCGAAAGCAUUAAGUAUACCACCUGGGGAGUACGCCGGCAACGGUG
RNAcentral lists this ribosomal RNA (895 nucleotides) under human vaginal metagenome. RNAcentral's name for it is "bacterial SSU rRNA". It matches the Rfam family "Bacterial small subunit ribosomal RNA", at positions 8 to 896 of the family's 1533-position model. The record is from RNAcentral.